AUGUUCAUGAAGAGAGAAUCAGAAAAGUGGAGAAGUGUUAUGCUAGAUACAGGAGGGAAAGUUUUCCACUUAUUCUGGUGGUAUUCAGAAAAAAUGAAUAGAAAUAUCUGCAUCUGGAGAGCCAAAGAGGAAAAGAAAGUUUACAUUAUGAAAAAAGCUUGAAAGUGCAGCAAGGAUUUAGCAGUAAUGAAAGAACUUCACCAUCUCUCAUGAUGAAGUUCCAUAAAGUUUUGCCUCAUACUUUAAGAGGAGGAGGAAGUUUCUCUCUCAUGGUUUGACUUGAUCGAACUCCCUGAUGUGCAUCAUGUAAUGGAUGCAGUAAUAGUCACAUAUGCUUGAUUUACACAAAUCUGAACUGCAAUGCUGUCAGUAGCUGCGCUGAUGCCGUUGGGGCUACAGUCCUGCCAUAAAGUGAAGCAUGUAUAGGUAUUUUUGUAGCUGCAGCACUUCAGGGAGGUAUAUGAGGUGUACAGUUUCACUUACUUGAAAUUACCAAAUUGCUCG
This 504-nucleotide long non-coding RNA is filed under the name Dromaius novaehollandiae (emu). Its description in RNAcentral is "lncRNA (ENSDNVG00000005110.1)". Lineage: Eukaryota; Metazoa; Chordata; Aves; Casuariiformes; Dromaiidae. The record is from RNAcentral.